CAAGUCGAACGAUGAAGCUGGAGCUUGCUCCAGUGGAUUAGUGGCGAACGGGUGAGUAACACGUGAGCAAUCUGCCCUUGACUCUGGGAUAACUGCGGGAAACUGUAGCUAAUACCGGAUACGACACCUUGGGGCAUCCCGAGGUGUGGAAAGAAUUUCGGUCAAGGAUGAGCUCGCGGCCUAUCAGCUUGUUGGUGAGGUAAAAGCUCACCAAGGCGACGACGGGUAGCCGGCCUGAGAGGGUGACCGGCCACACUGGAACUGAGAUACGGUCCAGACUCCUACGGGAGGCAGCAGUGGGGAAUAUUGCACAAUGGGCGCAAGCCUGAUGCAGCAACGCCGCGUGAGGGAUGAAGGCCUUCGGGUUGUAAACCUCUUUUAUCAGGGAAGAAGCGAAAGUGACGGUACCUGAAGAAAAAGCACCGGCUAACUACGUGCCAGCAGCCGCGGUAAUACGUAGGGUGCAAGCGUUGUCCGGAAUUAUUGGGCGUAAAGAGCUCGUAGGCGGUUUGUCGCGUCUGCUGUGAAAAUCCAAGGCUCAACCUUGGACCUGCAGUGGGUACGGGCAGACUAGAGUGCGGUAGGGGAGAUGGGAAUUCCUGGUGUAGCGGUGGAAUGCGCAGAUAUCAGGAGGAACACCAAUGGCGAAGGCACAUCUCUGGGCCGUAACUGACGCUGAGGAGCGAAAGCGUGGGGAGCGAACAGGAUUAGAUACCCUGGUAGUCCACGCCGUAAACGGUGGGUGCUAGUUGUGGGCCACAUUCCACGUGGUCCGUGACGAAGUUAACACAUUAAGCACCCCGCCUGGGGAGUACGGUCGCAAGACUAAAACUCAAAGGAAUUGACGG
This 848-nucleotide ribosomal RNA is filed under the name uncultured bacterium. RNAcentral describes it as "bacterial SSU rRNA". It matches the Rfam family "Bacterial small subunit ribosomal RNA", at positions 58 to 916 of the family's 1533-position model. The record is from RNAcentral.